Molecule: ribosomal RNA, 440 nt
Filed under: uncultured bacterium
Lineage: Bacteria
Description: partial 16S ribosomal RNA
Rfam family: Bacterial small subunit ribosomal RNA
Source: RNAcentral
CCUACGGGUGGCAGCAGUGGGGAAUAUUGCACAAUGGCGGAAACCCUGAUGCAGCGACGCCGCGUGAGUGAAGAAGUAAUUCGUUAUGUAAAGCUCUUUUAGCAGGGAAGAAAAUGACGGUACCUGAGUAAGAAGCCCCGGCUAAAUACGUGCCAGCAGCCGCGGUAAUACGGAGGGGGCAGGCGUCAUCCGGAUUUUCGGGGUGUAAGGGGAGCGUAGUGGGGAGUGCAAGUCUGGAGGGAAAGGCGGGGGCUCAACCCCCGGACUGCUCUUGAAACUGUGCUGCUGGAGUGCAGGAGAGGUAAGUGGAAUUCCUGGUGUAGCGGUGAAAUGCGUAGAUAUUAGGCAGAACACCAGUUGCGAAGGCAGCUUACUGGUCUGCAACUGACGUUGAUGCACGAAAGCGUGGGUAGCAAACAGGAUUAGAUACCCGAGUAGUC